Molecule: long non-coding RNA, 17235 nt
Organism: Rattus norvegicus (Norway rat)
Lineage: Eukaryota; Metazoa; Chordata; Mammalia; Rodentia; Muridae
Source: RefSeq, a predicted model, not a curated record
AGAAAGAGCACACAGUAAUCAAAGCUCUUGCGUGUACAUAGGAAAAAAACCACUGAAAGUUGAAGCAAGAAAGUGCUAAUAGCAAUCAUCUCUGGGUCUGGAUUUUACUUUAAUACAUUAGAAUGCUAUAAAUAGGGCUCGAGAGCUGGCUUGGCUGUUAAGGGCUAGGCUCACAACCAAAUAUAGACUGCUGCGAGCCGGUUAUAAGUGAUAAAUUUUAAUAUCAGAAAAUGUAAUCGACGUCUAUGACUCUUAAAGUGGCAAUUAAGUCACAAUGCCUGGACGGUAUUUAUGAGCAAUACAAAAUAAGCUAGAUUACAGUUGGUAUCCACGCCUCGCAUGACACUGAAAACGUGAAGUGCGCAUCUCAGAGCCAGAGAGCAGCGGGCUUUUUCAGUCUGGCAGCAGGCAAAUUUCAUGCUUGUGCACACACAAAUGCCAGAAUAAGGCAGACACACUUCAACCUCAGGUCUAGUCAAGGGAGGGCAAGGAGAAGGUAGACUUUCCUCAGAUGCUAAGGACACUGUGCUUGAUAAGAGGGUGGGGAAGGACAAGAAUUACUUUAGGACAGCUAAACAGUGGUGGCACAUGCCUUUAAUCCCAGCACUUAGGAGGCAGAGGCAGGUGGAUCUCUGGGUUCAAAGACAGCCUGGUGUACAGAGUGAGUACUAGGAUUACAGGGCUACACAGAGAAACCCUAUCUCAAAAAAACAUUAAUUCCAUUGCUAUACAAAUAUAGUAAGAUUCCUAAAUUAUUGUUCAUUUUUUGUCUUUCGUAAAGAGUAAAAGCCCAUUUAAGAUUUCUAAAUUAUUGUUUACCUUUUUCAGUCUUUUGUAUAGAGUGAAUACCCAUUUAAAGCUACAAGUUACUGAGUGAAGUGUUUAGAAAAAAGUAACAUGGGCUGGAGAGAUGGCUCAGUGGUUAAGAACAAUGGGUAUUCUUCCAGAGGUUCUGAGUUCAAAUCCCAGCAACCACAUGGUGGCUCACAACCACCUAUAAUGAGAUCUGAUGCCCUCUUCUGGUGUGUCUGAAGACAGCUACAGCAUACUUACAUAUAAUAAAUAAAUUUUUUAUAAAAAGAAAAAGAAUAAGGUAACAUGGCAACUAUUCAGGAAAAGUCAACUUCAAAGGAAAACAUUGACAUUUUGUUAAGAACCAAUGAUCUACAACCCUGUUAUUUUCAGUGGGUCCCAAGUUAAUAUGGGUCUGAGUUUAAGGGGGAAACAUAUGCACGUUACAGCAUGUUUUCCUAUGUCCUGUCUAGUUUUUGAAAUGCUUAGUAUGAAGAGGCUGUUUUCAAAACAUUGAAAGUCUCAGAGAGAGGCUUCAGUUGUCCGAUGGCGUACCGAAAGCAUAUUGCCAGAGAGGGCAUAAAGCCCUUUGUGGCCGAGCUCUAUUUGCUCUGGUCCCGUGGGCACAGCGAGGAUUCCCCGUGGAAAGGAACAGUACAGCUGGUGUCAUAGCGAAAGAUGCAGAGAAGAAAGGAUAGAUUCAGGUCUGCCCUUCGCAGACACGGUGGCCUCAGACUUCCAGGCACAGCAACAAUGACUGUGGCUUCUACAGAGGGUGCGCCUUGGGCUUGUCACAUCUGCAGUGGGAACUGUGGCUCCUGCAGAGGGCGCAGAUGUACGGCCCGGGGUUGUUCUAUCUGCAGUGUAUAUGUGGACAGGGUGGGGAUGGAUGUGAGAGGGAAGAGGGCCAUGCCUUCUCCACAGGCCAAGGUGACUCAUGUGUGCCCUGGGGGUGGACAAACCAUUCACCUUAUCAGCCAUCCUGGCGCAGGCCUCCGGGCUGGCCUCUUACAACACCAAGUACUGAGAAACCCCGGCGACUUGUGCAAUGCCUGGUUAGGAAAGCGCGUCUAAUCUCAGUUGUACUAUCAGUGUGAUUAUGGGAAGUAUUUUUAAUCACCACAGAGGAAAUAAAGAAGGCUUGCCUCACUUCCAUCGGCGGCACACGGGCUUGCUUGUCCCAGGCUAAAAUACCUGGAGGAAUGUGGACGGUCAGAAGCUAAAAUAAAAAUGACAGCCUGGGGCUCCACUUACAGCACACACCCCAGCAGCACGGCCCAGUGGCCCCAAGAAGAGGAAGGGGCCCUGUGUGGAAGACCCACAAUGCUUCAGUCUCCACUGGGCCGGGCUGUGGGCAGGGGUGAACAGCACUGAUCACAUAGAAUGUACAUUCCCAGAGAGCCUCCACUCUGGUGGGAGCUAACUCUGUCAGCCAUCAAAGAAAGUAGAAGGGAAGAAAAGUUGAGGACUCCAGGUUUAAAAAAAAAAAAGAUUUCAAAGCAACUCCUUCAAAGGCCUUUUUAUAUUUAUUUUAAGGAGACAUUUGAAUUUAAGUGACACUGUCAAUCACUUCUUUUUUCAAAUAUGACAAUGCUUUUCUACCCUAUCUUCUUCUCGUGGCUUGACGGAAAUGAAGGGGAAGUUAUUUUCUUCACACAUGGGGUGGGAAAUCAUAGAAAGAACAAACUUGGUAAGGGUAACCUAUCUGAAUGCUUUACUUUCUCCGUUCUUUUUAAUGUGGCUGUUUUCUAUUUGCUUACUAUUGUGGUGGACGUGUCGUGAUCAAAUAAACUUUAAGUAGAGAAUAUACAAUUUUCUAAAACCGUCGGCUGGAAAGAAAAUCCCGGAGUAGCAGAAAGAAUAACAAAGAGAUGGAUAUGCCAAAUGACACCCUCCCUUCCUCAGACUCCAUUAAGCCAGGAUGUAAAUUACGAUUCUACCUGUGAUGUUCUAAAUAUCAAUCUUGGUGACACUAUCCUGUAUCUAUUUUAAUAUUUAAUGUUUUAAAAUGGAACUAAGAAUACCUAACGUAUGAGCACCCCACACAUCUUACAGACUCUCAGAUUUCUUUUUUGUUUUUUUGUUUUUUUUUUUUUAUGAAAUGUAAAAUCAAAGGAUACAGGUCUACAGUGCCGUCCCCUUUACCAGCUUCUAGGGCAGUGAGCUGGGAUCACAUCCAAGAGGCUGGCCGUCUGGGCAGUAAAGGUAUAUGAGGGUGGGGGGGGACUGUUAGGUGGCCCUUGGAGAGAAGCCCAUUAUACCUGUGGGGGUCCUGAUAUUGGGGUAAUCUAACCCUUGUUACUGAGUGAAUAACCUGUGGCGGGAGGGAGGUUUAGAAUAGAUGCCUCUUACCGAAGCAAUUAAGACCAUUCAGGAAACAGAGAAAAUGGGCAAUCAGGCUCUCCCUCCCAGAGAGCGCUUGCUGGUGCUCAAUCAGUUCUGAGACAGACAGCUCCCAGUACGUGAGGUGUGGCGUUUGCUACUUAAAACACUCUGAAGGGAUGCUGGGGCUCGGCUCACGGAGCCUUCAAAUCUCUUAUGCAUCCAUGUUCAAAGCAUUCAGGGCUGUCACCCAGCCCUGUGUGAUGUCCCUGAACACCUGAGGGCCAAACACAGUGUUACUCAAGGAUGAGAAGCAAUGCUAAUCAGAGUUGCCCUGCCCAGAAGUAAAAAUAUGACUUCAGAUUCCUCCACGGCAGCACUUAAUAAAGAAGGCCGACAUGGAAGUGGGAGAGCCCUAAAAAUUACUUCAGUGCCUCUUCGACUUGAACAAUACGAAGAGACAUCGGCAGGACAGGCUGUUCUAGAACAGUUGCUUGUCCAACGUGGUCCCGAAUUGGCACAGCUACACACUUGUCACAUAGAAUUACUUAUGUGAUGCCAUCCCGAGGCCUUGAGGGCAGCCAACGUAACGCCUUAAUUUUUUUUCUCUUUUUCCCCCUUCAUCCUCAGGAUUGAACCUAGAGCCUAGCGCAGGCUAACUGAACAAUACCCUUUCACUGAGACACAUCCUUUCCCUGUUGUAAUGGAGCCUUACGAAGUCCCCCCAAGCUUGCUUCAAACGCACUGUGUAGUCACAACAGACCUUGAACUUGAGAUCUUCCUGCUUCAGCCUCCGGAUGGCUGGGAUUUCAGGCCUAAACUGGUAGCGUGAGGCUAAGGCAUUCGAAUGGCCACAUAAGCUGGGUCUGAAGGGAAGAACAUUCUCGACUACGUGAAAAGGAGCAAAAGGUGGCCAUCUGCUCUACUAGGGAAGCCUCCACGGACCACGUCUCCGCAAUGCAAUACCGUCUUCGGAGCCAUGCAACUUGUUAAAAAGCCGCCGACGGGAAAUAAAAAGUGUCACCGUAUUGGUGACAUCUAAAAGGCGAGGACAGUCAAACCUGCAUCCUAAAGCCCUGCCUAGACCUCAGCUAUUGGAGGAAAUUACACACCGAACCUCCAACUGACUGUAAGACAUAAUCAGGGCUGGGCACACGGCCCUGUGUUGGUUCAGUACUAUUGGCUGUAAGCCAGCUGUGAACAGAGCUAGAGGCCACAUUUUCAAAACGAAAAAAACCCACGUGCAGUACGUUCUGACGAUUUAUAUGUUCGGUACACUAGGUUUGAAAUUGUCUUUCUACCGAUUUGAUUAAAAAGAAGUCACCUGGAGGAGUGUAUUCAUGGGAGGACUGUGGAAGCAAGGCGGAGGCUGAGGGAGCAUGGAGGCGUUCGCAGAGAGCCCGGGACCCGCUUUGAAGCAAGCCCCUCUGCUUUCACACCCGGCAUCCAUUCAUUACCUAAGGGUGGUGAUCUGUUUCUUUCUCCUGGUGCCCUUAGAGAACGAUGAGGCUCCUAGAUGGUUAAUUACUUCAGGCCAGGGUCAAAAACCCGCGGAGGGAAAGGCACACGGAAGGCCCUCCCGUAGCUUGAGCUCCUCAAUCUCCUGGCAUCAGACAGUAAUUUUCAAUGGGACACAAGUGCAAAGGAGUUUUGCUGGAAAGGAGGGCUUUGAUGGCUUUGCAAUCAACUCGGCUUCAGCAGGCCUUCUGCACAGACUGCAAGCAAGUCAGACUCCGAAAACCAUUAGUCCCCCCAGCAAGACGCUGUCCCUUGCCUUCUAACGCUCUAGUGGGAAUUAUUUCUAUGAACCAGGAGAAAAUUUGUCUGUAGCCGUUUCACCACGGAGGAAAUGGCACUCCUGAAAUCCUGGGCAUUACCGUUUUGUUUCUAAUUGAAAUCCAGCAUCAAAUAAACUUGCAAUCAAGAGAGAAGAGAGAGAGAGAGAGAGAGAGAGAGAGAGAGAGAGAAAGAAAGAGAGAGAGAGAGAACGAACCUUUGGGGUUAAAAAAACCCGAGGUUUUAGUAGAUUUCACUACCCAGAGAGACUGGACUGUUUCCCAUUUCCAUUUAGCUGUACCAAAAGUGGUCACUCUUUUUUUUUUUUCCUAUACUGAAAUGGAAAGUAGAAAAGGUGCCUCUCCCUUUGCCUGCCGUGUCGAAAAAGCUAGUAGCCAACAGCCUUAAAAGAUAAUACGAUUUGUAGAGGCCGUGCUCUUAGCACUGCCCGGCUGCGCCGCUCGUCUUUGGGAAUCAAUCCGGCCAUCUUUAGCACACGUGCUUGGGCGCCGACAAAUGAUGUAUUCCAUCUCUGAAUCCAUGAGCAGAGAGGAGCCCGGCUGAUAAACAGCCACGAGUGGAAAAUGUAUGCACCUUUCAUAAGCGAGACAAAUCACUCCUUCUCCCCAAACGCUUCCAACAGGAACGCUAAUUUUGUAUUUAUUUGCACAGCAUAUGUACUGUGUCCAAAGCAGUGCAUUAAAAAGGAUCUCAGGCGGCUCUGAUUCCAUCUAGUCACCGCUGUCUUACGAGGUCUCAAAGGCAAGCAGUAAAACAGGAAGCCGGAGAGGGCGGAAACACCUCAUCAAAUGGUUCUCAGGUUGGGUUUUUUUUUUUUUUCCUGAGGCCCAUCUUUCUCCUCCUGCUCUGAAGUGAGAUUUUAAAAAACCGAAAUACUGUGACUGAGGCCAUGCAUCUUAAAUCUACCACACGCCUUUCCUGUCACCGAGCAGUUAUUUUUAUUAAUAACUCCGAGAACAUAUUGUGGAAUUCUUUUUGUUUUGAGAUCCGGUCAUGUGAUGGCUUCCAUGGCAGGGAACACUGGGUAAAUUGUAAUGUUCUAAGAUGCUAAUGAAUGGACCCUUGUAGGGCCCAUUUAGUGAUGAAUUGGUAUUUGCUGAGGCCUAAGCAAGCACAGGGCACGACACAUAUUCCAUCCUCUGUUGAGCUCCGCCAUGAUGGGUGAGGAGCUUAAAGGACUCCCAGGAAAGAGCACAAGCUGGUAAGCAAGCAGCAAGCAGACUGUUUUAAUCAAGCCACAGAAGGAGUGGCUUUGUGUGUUACUUCCUAGAGCUCCAUCCUCCGAGUGUGCACAGAGCUCACGGACAUACUGCAUCCAGAGCCUGGCUGAGCAUCAGACUGCGGUGGUAAAAGCAGGAGAUAUAACUCACUCCAGGCCCCAGAGGACGGUUUCUGAGGCAAGACAGAGCUGGAGACACAAGCUCCACCUCCUGGGAUACAACGCAGACCACACCCCCACCCCGAGCCAUGACACGAGUGUUCUGAUGUCACACAGGACCCUCCAAGGCUUCUGGCAUUGAUGCUGUCCUGGAUACUGGUUUUAAGCGUAAGCCUGUGUCACAGCAAUACGCUCACAUUGUUCAAGAGCAUAGAAGUCCGCCUUGCCAGACUGGCUGCAGGCUGGGCAGUCAAAGACCUGACUAGCAAGUUACCCUCGGCAAGGCCGUUGUGGUUGCGUCAGCUGCGAAGCAUUAGGGACGACAUUAAGUGGAUUGUGCGUUUCUGUUAAGUCUCCUGUAACAGGCAUUAAAAAGAACAUUUUUUUUUGCUUCUACGACGAUAUAUAUUAAUUGUGAAUGUCUACAAGGGUAGAUUUGGUGAGACUGUCUAAUGGUGCUUCCUUUUUCCCCAGAAAUCUUAUGAUACUAAAACUUAAGAUCUAGGCAUCUCAGUUCUCAGGGAAACGAGGGAGGAGGAUGGAAAAGUUCAAAGACAGCUUGACCUGCCUAGAGAGCUCCAGGUUAGUCAGGGCCUCAUAGAUAGAUACUGCCUUAAGAUAGAUAAUGCCUUAAAAAAAUGCGUGUGUGUGUGUGUGUGUGUGUGUGUGUGUCACAAGAUAGCAAAAACCAAUCAAACAUGCAAGUUUGGUAAAAAGAAAACCCAAACAAACAAACUUGAUAAAAUCACAACUGAAAAACCAGUGCACUGGACUUAACUGUAAUCUAGAUUUUACGACAGCAUCCCUCAUGCUCCAAAACCAACUUUCAAUUUCAGAAAAGGUAGCUUUCUCUCUGUAGAGUAAGCUCCCAGUUCCUUAGAAGAUCUAUAUAAAACCCUGUAAUGGUUAUCUUAGCUAAAGAUGACUGGGAAGAACAAACUUCAUUUAGAAGAGACUUUGAAGAAAGCCACAACAAUCGAAGAAGCCUUCAUUUCUCAACACGGGAAAUGAGCUCGAGAGAAAUAGCCCGCUACCCAGGAGCAUGGAGUCAGCAGCUGACAGUACAUCCAAACUGAAAACUCAGAAUUCGGGUAAUUAUUUAAUUGAGAUGGACUAAGAGAAAACAAGCUAGUUCUUAAAAGUCAAUGUUGAGAACAGACAUAAAUUUUAUGAAAUGAAUGGAUGCUAUAAGUAGUAUUCUCGAAUUUCAGCUUUACGGAGAAAUUAGAUAUCUAUAUACUACUACUACUACUACUACUACUAUUUUUGAACAUCUUAAAUUACACAUGUAUUUAUUUGUGUGUGUUGUGUGUGUGUGUGUCUAUGACACACAAGUGCCAUGGUAGUUGGUUCUCUCCUUUCACAACGUGGAUCCCCUGGGAUUGGUGGUAAGGGCUUCCACCCAGUAGCCAUCUUGCCAGCCCCUGGUGCUAUUAUUAAUGAAUAUAUUUCCCAUUGGAAUUCUGUCUCACAAUUGAAGUGGUAAUUACAUUUGGAAUGAUAACAACUGAAAAUAAAGGGAUGUUGUGCACACAUCUUAAGAUUAUUUUUACUACGAGGAUCAAGUGGUCAGGUUGAAACCCGGGGAAUGCUUGGCUUGGGUUCCUAUUAUACCAUAAAGCUAAGGACACGUGAAGAAGGCAGAGCUGAGCCGCACAGCUGACCCGGGCAGUGAGCAGACAUGUCUAGUAGAGGCGAAGAGACCGGGGCUGAGUAUCUACUGAAGCAGACUCAAGCCUUUGCUUGAGGCCCGGGUGUAUAUAGCGUGAGCCCAGCCAGCUUCCUCAUCUACAGGAAGCCGUCCGUCAGGCUUGUGCUGCUGUGUGGACAAUGCUGGUAGGACUGGUAUUCCACCAGGUCAGCUGCAACCAGUGGAAUCCAGAACAAGCCUUGUCAAGUGAAAGUCUCCUGGAGAACUUAUUCUGGAGGCAAUGACGGUCCCCAAGUCCUUUUUUGUCACAGUACAACUGCAGAGUUCACACGGGGAGGGUGACAACAUCCACCUGUUUGCACACUUCGCCGUUGCUCUUGAACACACAUAUUUUACUUGCUGAUUAUUUUUUUACGUUCAAGCUUGAGGGAAGCAAACAAUUAACCUGAAGUUUGCCCACAAACUCAUUUCCUAAACUAGAGCUCGUGACACACCUUGGAGUACUGUUCCUACAAACAACAGUAAGUAACCCUGAGUAUGCAUGAAGGCCACGACAGGAAUUUCGCUUCCCUUCCUGAUCAACAGUUAACACUGACCGAAAAUACUCGGACGUUUAAAAAAAUGGAGGUGCCUCACUGAUCUUAAUCUUCUUGGUAACCAAUGAAGAAAAAAUGGCUGUCGCAUACCCUAACUUACGUAGAACAAGUGAGAUGUUCACGUUUUAAAGAGGGAAAGGCUGUUAAAUUUUACGAAGUUGAAAGCUUCACCACUAAUGGCCCACACUUGCAGCCGAAAGUGGACUUUUAUGACAAUCAUCCUUUCAAUUCAGUUUUUACACAGACUUGGAUCUUUCAGAAUGUUGUCACAUAUAUGUAUAAACUGAUUAAUUUUUUUUACCCCUUAAAGCUUUGGCUUCCAGUGGAGUUAUGCAAUUCUGGCCGCUCACUAUAACCUAUAACGGGACAUGAGGUGACAAUGUUCCUACUCUCUCCGCAAACCGAAGUUUCGAGCCUUCUGCACACUUGCUUUACGGUAAAGGAGAGAAGCAUCGGUGAGGGGAAAGGGUUGCAUCAUGAACUAUGACUCGGAGAAUAAGACACCCACCUACUAACACUAACCGAGAACAGACUUUGUGCUCUUCCUUGUUCUCAGUGUGGACCAACCUGUUUGGUUCUUAAGCGUUCCUGAGAGAAGGGUUAUUCCAUUAAACGGGCAAACAAACGAUCACAGGAGAGAAGGAAGCUGGGGGAGACGGACUCAGCUCUGACUCCAGGAUCUUAGGUCUCUAUCUUUCUCAAUGGCCCAUCAAUAAGCCAUAGUUGGCAUCUGCCUAGAGCAAAGUACCGUCACAAAUGUAACUGGACUGAUAUAUAAAGUGACUAUAAUUUAUACAGCAUCAGACAGAGCCUGCUGAUUGGAACAGGAUACACCUUAUCAGGGUCUGAAGGUUUUAUUUAUUUAGUCUUUUAAAGUCUACAGGAGAAUGUUUUGACGUUUCUCGAUGUCUACAUCCAUGUGUGGCACAGUGAAGUGGGAAAUAGUCCCCAAGUCCUGCAAGGGAAUCCCUGGGUCAAGGCUCUGCCGUCUUGAAGGACUUUUAUCAGCCAUCCAACAUGGAGACAACAUGAGUUUACCUGUGAGAGCUAGUUUGGGUAAAUGAGACGGCAGUUCAUAAAUUGCUAAAGAACAGAUAAAGGCGAGGUGUGAUCUUAUUGUUUUGGACUUCUCUAAGGUAUUGAUGGAGAUAUAAAUUCCCUUCCAGAGGUUUAGCCCUGACACGAGGCCAUGCUGUGAGAGUGUGAUGGGGAGAGAGAAAGAAUGCCACUGAUCCAACUCAACUGAACACCCGGAACUUAAGGCAUUUGCUGGGUUGCCCUAGGGACCUUAUUAAAUCACAGGUUGUUAGCACAACCAUGCUAACAACUGGGCACGUCCUAAAUGUCUGCUGUGCAGUAGCCAGAGACCCUGCACAGACUGGGAAGUGAUAGGGAAGAGGGGAUAUGAAACUGGGGGAUGCUGGGAGGCAGGAAGUUCUCUUCCUCCCCACUGCCAUCUGUUUCCGCUUGCCCUGCUUGGUGAGAAGGUGAAGCCACAGUACCCUAGGGUAAAUAAGCCUACUCACUAGAUUCUUGUCUAGUGAUGUCAUUACGUUUCCAGAAGUGAGGUUGUUUAUACAUCGGAAGGCCUUAACCUUGAACAAACAUAUGCUUGAUCUAAAACAUCAUGCCCUCUCCCAACAGACAUUGUAUUUUUUUUAAUGGUCAUUGUUAUUGACGUUAAUGUAUCCAAUGGGAGUUCUAUAGAAGUUACUAAACGGAUAAUAGGGAUGGCUGACGUGUCUGUAAUCUGACAUUUGUGGUUUCCGUCGAUACAGCAUCACAUGCCAUACCUGGGGUCAGAUCAGAUUUUUGAUGACCUGAGUUCUCUUCUCAGUAGAUUCUAUUACCCAGGGCCUGGGGCCGCUUUGCAUCUCUACUGGAACUUGUCACAAGUGGUGACGUUUCCGAAGGAAGAAGUAAAGGAGGGGAAAGGAUAAUUCCUUUUAUGGUUUCCUUUCAUGACUGAAGCAUAUUGAGUACUGAAACUUCGUCUCAAUGAGGUAUAAUCACCUUGACAUAGUCAUUUAUCAGGAGUCAGUGGACAUGGACACCACACCAACCAAGGUCUUCCACACCUCAUCCUACUGUCUGUGUGUGCACAGCUUUUAAAAAAUUACUUUUUGACUUCACAUAUGAGUAUGUCGGCUGUUCAUUCUUUAUAAAAGGAAAUUAACAGAGUUCUGAAAUGAUUCCUUUCGGAAGCCAAAUGCUUUCCUUCCUAAAACUAUAUGUAUUUUUUUUUAAAGUUUCUUUUGUAGCUGGGCAAACUGCAAUUGAUGUCCAGAAAGUUAGCAGAUCACCCAAUGGCAUUUCAGCAACAUAAUUUGAAUGGUAGUGACAAUAACCAUUCAUUUAACGGGACAUUGUUUCUCAUAAAAUAUUUGAAGGCUAACAAAUUAAAAGGAGUGGGAAAUUAAUUGCUCCGGAGUAUAAACAGAUGUAUAUGAAAAGCACAUGACUUUGUCAUCGGAAGAAAGCUGAUUAAGGCUUUAAGGAGCUUUUGAAAGAGUCCUCCCAUUCCCAAUGUUCCAAUUCAGUCUUGUGCCUCAGAUAAAGGAGGUGUUACCACCGGUCAUUUUUCUGUGCCAUGGAAAUAGGGACAAUUAAUAUUUACAUAAUACAUGCAAGGUCCUAAUAAAGCAAAACCAUGCUAACAAGUAAGUUAGGCUCAUAGAAACAUUAAGUCAAAGGGAAAGGAAACAAUGAUACUAUUUCAGGGAGAAAGGAAUGUAAAGAAAGUACUAGGCAGGGAAAGGGAAAUAUUAAUAAGAUACAGAGGGUCUCUAUUGAGUCCUUUAAUUACGCCUACAAAUUACUAUGCGCCAAAUACUAUGUGGUCAAUCUUCUCCGCACCAACUAUUCUAUGAGUUGGGCACUAUAAUUAAUUACAUAUUUGCCCACAGGAAGACCGUGUCUCCGUUUUUUACCCAAGGUUACCGUGCAAAGAAUACCAGAGCCAAGCCUCAGAUGCUCACCCUGCAUGCCUCCGGAAGGGCAUAUGCUCUUAGAUCCGGCAACAGCAUCUUCUCUGGGCCAGGUCUAGAGGUCACCUGGCAGCUGUGCACCUCCCCAGCUGCUCCCUGAACAACUUAGAAAUGUUUAGCUCAAUCUGGACUUGCGCCUUAGCAGUGCCCCUCAUCCUGGGUCCUGGCGGGGGUCCUUCACCUCUAGCUCCACACGGGGCUCUUUGUUUAACAUAUCCCACAGAGACAGACACAGAGAGCAGAGCUUUAAAAAUAACAGGUCUUGGCAAACUCCUGGCUUAUUAGCCCACACACCAGUUCACAGAUGACUGGAAUUCUCAAAUCAGAUUACCUGACAGGCAAUUUCAUUAUCUUGCUCUGGUACACCUUCAAAACCUUGAGAUAGCCAGAUAGACAUCACCCAUUAAUCUGUUUGGUCGCCUGUGUGCAGCUUCUGUAAUCCUAUUUGUGCAACUACGAGUGCUCGGUAUUUACUUAAUAUUUUCAGUUCUAUUUUUUAAUAUGCUGUUUUGUGAAUUAUAGAAGUGCCAUGGUCAUUUAAAUAUAUAUAUGUAUAUAUGUAUAUAUUCAUACACAUGUAUAAUUUUAUUACAUUACUGGACAACAAAUAAGACUUAAAAGCCAUUAACUUGAGAUUUAUACCCCUUAAUUUCUUGUAGGUCAUCUAAAACCGAGUAUUAUACACUAUGUCAUAUAAAGUAAAUGCUGACCACAACCUGCGUUUAAUUACCCCGUAAGAGAAAAAAAGGAAUGCUAAGAAUGGAUAAUGCCUUUGAGUUAAACGUACGAUGCACACAUUCUUCUGUAAUAGGAGUUUAAUCUGAUUUUGCUGUAACUAUUCAUUUGGUCUCAAGCGGAAUUUAAUGGAAAAGAACUUUGUAAGAUUAAAAAAAAUGAAAAAACUUAGCGCAAAGCUCCAUUUACAGAACAUGGUUAAAAAUGGGUGUUCCUUCUAUUUCUUUCUCCUCCUCCAUUUGGAAGCCUGGGCAAGAAAGAAGAGCUUCUCUUGGGAGUACAAACCCAAAACCUCUAUCUGGCUUCUAGGCAGUCCUGCUCAUGACCCAGGCAGUGACCAGGCAAGAGGAUCAGGCACUGGAGGCAAAUUGUUCUCCCUCCCUGCAGCUACACUCCCCUUCUCCAUAUAGAACAUUCUCUUGCUAGUCCCCUACACCAACCACUGCCUUCUGGUCAGAUGCCAAAACCUUUGCCUUUGCGGGUCCACUUGCACCCUGAACUGUAUUUGUGGAUAAUCUCAUAGCUCUGUCAAGACUGGCAGGUUCUGUCACGCACAGUAUCUACUUUGGGCUCUGGUCAGCUCUCUACCCAUUGAGCCAUCUCUCCAGAUCCCUUUGCCUCUUUAUAGCCUUUCCUUUCCCUAAUAUAGCCCAGGCUAGACUUAAUCUUGCUACUUGGCUGAGGAUGAGCUAGAAUUCCCCAUUCUCCUGCCUCAGACUCAGAAGUGUCGGGAUCACAAGUGUAUCACUAUGAUUGGUUACUUCCAGCACACUGAAUUAUCCAUUAUGUGAGAACUAUAAGGUUGGACCAUGGAAAGAAAUUAAUUGACAUUAUUUGAGCCAAACUGUCCAAGUUCCUGUCUUAACUCUUUCUACAUACCCCUAUAUACCCUGUAUUACUGUUAGCACACCUAUCUUUUGUGUCCUUUUGUACAAGGACUUCCUUAUAGCCCAUGUCCCUAACUGAGCUAUAGAUCCCAAAAGAGCAGUGGCCAUGCCUGUGAUGCCACAUCUCGUUCCUCAUCUCCAGCACUGUGAAUGGUACAUGGUUAAUAAUAGUUAAUAGCUCAGUUAAUAAUAGUUAAGUAAAAAAGGAUGAUGGAAGAAAGAAAAUGAAGGGCAGGCAGAAGGGAUGAUGGAAAAAAAAAUGAAGGACAGGCAGAAAGGAUGAUGGGAGAAAGAGGCAGGGCAGACGGCAAGCCGAUCCUGGCAUGGAGAACCAUAAUAGGUACCUCAAGCCCAGGCUGUUCCACAGCCUGUGUUGAAGUUGACAGAAAAUCAUAGGCUGUGGUGCUUCAGACAAAGCAAAAAAAGGUAUUUUCUUAUUGUUUCAUUAGUGAUUAUUAAUUAGAGAUAACGGGUUUUGUGUUGACAUUUUCAUGAAUGUAUAUCUUUAUUAUAUCUACUUUAAUUAUAUCUACCCCUCAUUUGACUUCCCUCAAUCCCUUCUCCCUCCUUCUACUCCCUUUUUCAAGUAAUUCCCUCUCUGCUUUCCCCGCAUCCCUCGAUCCCCCCCAUGGGUUGUACAUACACAGGAAAAUGAGUUACACUUGAGCCACUCUUGCUUCGACACGUCUAUAUACUGGGGUCUGCCGACUGGCAUCAGAAGGGCAUGUAGUCCAGGUUACUGGGGCAUUCUAAUUCUGCUGACACUCCUGAGUGUGGAGCUGUCUUACAAGGGGAUUUUUAAAAGGAGUUCUUCCCAUUUAGUAAGUUAAACGUGAUUCUGUCCCAUGACCACAGGGAUAUUUGACCCUUUCCAGGGUUUCUUGAAAGACACAUUGCUCCAGUGUACAAAGUUCUGCCGCGUCUGCCUCCAGAAUUGCUUUCCCGUUUCAAUAAUCACUCUUCAACCCCUCGCAGUGACUGAGCCGAAUAUGGUGGGGGUCAACGGCAUGGAUUUGAACAGUAAGUUCAGAUGAUCUUUUUUAAAAAAGAGCCAAGCAAAGUUCAAUCAUAUGGUAGAAUCUAUCCUACGGUGCGGUGGGGAUGGUUAGUGGGCUAAAUAUAAGAACUCUGGAUAAUGGCUGUCGCACAGCUAACACACAUAUUUGUUGCUGUUGCUAUUCUGAAAUAAGAAAAGAAUCUGAACCCCAAAGAUCUUGAGCGACUUGUCCGGCUAACACGAGCCUGGAGUUUCAUUUCUAUCCCGAUUUCAGCAUGCCACACAGAUGACGCUGUCGAGAAUGCAGCUGGCCUCCCCCCCACCCCAUGCACCCCCUUUUCUUUCCACAUUACACUGAAUAAUAAUUUCCUGGCUUUCAAGAAAUAGUAAUUUUUAAGUGCUUACUACCUGAUUAUAUUCAUUAAAGAUUUCCAAAAUAGUCCCUGGUCUAGCGAAGUAGAAAUCACACUAUGAUUACGUUAUUAUAGAACUGGGGGAGGAGGGAAGGAAUAUAUUUCUCUUCCAAAACUUCUUGAGAGUCAAUAUAAUUCUCAUUAUACUCUCCCCGCUAUUUUAUUAUCCCUUCCUUUAUUAGGGGUUUAGAUUUGAAGCAGUUCUAAGAAAAAGGAUAGGAAUAGAAAGAGACUUAAAUUGCUCUUUGUCCAUAUUAAGGCCAAAGCUUUGGCAGAUAAAGGCAAAAGGGAAGGUCAGAUGCUGUGACCUAAUUAUGUCCGGACUUACUUUCUUAUCCUUUUAUUUAAUGAGAACCAUCCAAUUUAGACUGGCUCAGUAAUUAUGUAACAAUAAAAGCCAUAUAUGUUUAAACAUGUAGCUUUCCUGCAGUGUAUUCACUUUCUAAAAAGGGAAUAUGAAUGAAGCGAAAAGGAAAAAAAAAAUCUGAAUUUGAAAGGGACAAAGGAGUAAUGGCUUCUCUGAAGCGGCCAUUGUGUUUCUCCUUCUUAUAUAUGGUCUGCUACUUUCAUGUUUAAGGAAAAUGCUAGAGCCAUAAAUGAGGUGAACUUCCCAGCUAAGACGGGCAGUUAAGAUAACCAAAUUGUAGGAGAUGCUCUGAUGUCUGUUCGGAGGAGUACACACACAUACACACAGAAGAAGGGUCUGGAAAUCAGGAGGAUUUCAAAUGACCUUGGCAGGAGCCAAAUAUCCCAACUGCUGUGCCCUUCCCCUCAGCCCAGUGGCACAUGUUCAAGCACUCCUCUCCUUUCUUCCCGCCCAGCUUCAUCCUACUUCCGGCCCAGCUUCAUCCCACUUCCGGCCCAGCUUCAUCCCACUUCCGGCCCAGCUUCAUCCCACUUCCGGCCUAGCUUCCUCUCACUUCCUCCGCAGCCAUCUCUCACUGUAAUUAUGUCUAUUCUCUGAUCAUCCACUGUGACCCUUCUCUUCCUACUCUUUAACUCUUUCAUAAAUGUCUGCCUCACUAAAAACAAAAACAGCCCCAAACACCCCGAAAGAUAUAUUUCUUAAGGAUAAGAAAUUUGUCACCCGUUGAGAACCAGGAUAGUAGUGGCCUCACGUGAGCAUGGAAGACGACUACUAGGAAGUUCUCACUUCCUAGCCAUCCUGCUCCAGAGUGAACUGUGGCCCCUGCCCCACCUUUCUGGCGCUCAUAUCUGAUCUUGAAAAGUCAUCUCUGUAUUCUGGGAAAGAGAAAUUACGGCAGCAGGAAAAUGAGAGUUUGGGACAAGCACACACAGACACAGGUCUUAUCUUAGGCUGUGAUCCCUGAAAACAAGCUGCCUGUGGCUCCAAGAAAGAGCAGCCAGAGCCCACAGGGUUCUUCUGGUGAGGUUCUGCCUCUGUAAGAACAAAGUGGUUACAAACCUGAAAAUAUCAACAGCCAAGUACAGGAAAGGAAAUUCAGGAACAAAACCAUCAGGACAGAAGGAAGUGGCGGAGUCCACCGGUUGCAGUCUCAAGGUCAGCAGAUGCAUGAGCCCCUCUCAGCACAGCUAGACAUGGACCACGGAGAAGAAAGGGAGAAUUGUUCGAUGUGAAAGAGUCAAGCAGCAACGUGAAUAAACCUGAAUUUAUUAGAGGUCCGCGUCGUGCGAUGCUGAAAUCAUCUACUUCAGAAGUAGGUGAAACUCAAUCAUUCCUGUAGGCGUGGCGCCUCGUGAAGAAACGGGAAUUUAUUUGCACAGCAAGUUCAAGAACUUGGGUUUAAUCUGCAGCACCACAAACACACACACACACACACACACACACACACACGCGCGCGCACACGCACGUGCACGCACACGCAUACAGCAUGCCACUGUGAUGUAUGCCAGCAUGAAGGUGGUACAUAUGUACCUCUAAGUCUCUGCUCACCAAGUUAAUGCCAAUCUGGGCACAAGUACGCAUAUAAGGCAGAGCUCUGACUGCUCACAGCCAAAGCCAACUCUACUGAAGUUAACAGGAAGGACAUUUCCCUUAAGAACUUCUCAUAAAAACCUCCUAGCAAAUUAGAAAGCAGCUGUCCUGAACACAAGACGACAGCCACUGGAGCCCGGGGUCCUGUCCUUGAGGGCAGAAGUGGGGCCGGUGCCAAGGUUUCUUGUGCUUCUUCUCUAAGCAAAGACAUCAGUGCGGUUAGUUCAGACUGCAGACCUACACGGACCUUCAACAGACAGGGGCAACCGACUGGCUACACAGCUCUCUGCUCUGGAGGAGCAGUGAAUCCGAAUGAUCCUGUGUUGUUCUGCCGCAGGACGUCUCGCUGCUAUUCAAAUUCUGUGCCUUUACCAAGGGAACAAGCUGAGCAAAUGGAAUCUAAGGAAGCCCUGGCACCCACCUGGCCUAGCCUUUCGGGGGUGAGGGGUGGGGAGCAGCAAUGCCUUUCCUGUAACCACCCUAAUCCCCCUAUCAACUAAUUAAUACCCAGAGAAAGCUGUUACUUGCAUGGGAGCAAUUAUACCAAGUUCCUGGUCGGUGUCCAAAUGGACUCACAAUAUAAUUCAUGAACAAUGAGGCUUAGGCAAAGACAUCGUCUAAAGAUGACUUCUAAAACGAAAAGAGUUUGAGAAGCGGACCUUAAAGGACUCUGUUAGUAGCUGGGUGACGGGACAGGAAAUAAAUGCCAUUCAUUUUUUUAAA